UGGCUUAUCUUAGUGUGUAUUGAUAAAACACCCAUAUCAGUGAAAGAAUUUCAGGGAACUCCUGGUCUGUGCUGCACAAACAGGAUUAAGCGCCUAUAGAUUUCUGUUGUUGUAUAUUGACUCUUUCCAUUUGGAUACCAAUGUUAACUCUGAGCCUUUGAACUAUGAAGAAACCACAUUCACCAAAGCAAGGCAGUGAGGUGAGCAUGGCUGUUCAUUACCGAUGGCGGAUGAACACUCUACUCAUCUCUUCCUCAGGGUCUGAGCUGUCAUUCCUUUCCCCAGGAAGAUGGAUAGUGCACGUGGAUCCUAACCUGGAUGACCUGCUCUCUGGAUGUGACAAGAUGUUCAAGUAAACCCCACUAAAUGGGGUCCAUGCAGUGCCAGACCUGCCUGGGGUAAUAUCUGAGAGGUACAUCUGCCCUGAAUGUAUUGUCUCUUUCAAUUCUGCAGACCAUCUACCACCAUAAAACACUCCUGAGCAGGAAGGAAUACAUCAGUGGAAGCCAGCUACAUUUAAAAAAGGCUGCAGUUGCUCAAAUAUAAUUUUAUCUUGCAUAUGUCUCUAAUAAAAGAUCCACUUUAUGACUAA
This is a long non-coding RNA of Acipenser ruthenus (sterlet), 592 nucleotides long. RefSeq lists it as uncharacterized. NCBI's taxonomy places the organism in Eukaryota, Metazoa, Chordata, Actinopteri, Acipenseriformes, Acipenseridae. The transcript is spliced from 3 exons. The record is from RefSeq and is a predicted model, not a curated record.